RNAcentral lists this long non-coding RNA (3671 nucleotides) under Brassica napus (rape). Its description in RNAcentral is "long non-coding RNA (BNAP_LNC004168)". Lineage: Eukaryota; Viridiplantae; Streptophyta; Magnoliopsida; Brassicales; Brassicaceae. The record is from RNAcentral.
AAGAUGAGAACCGAACCGGUUUCUUUCGGUUAAUUUGGUUGGUUAUGCUAAUUUUGGAGAUCUGGUUCGGUUUGUACUGGCUUGUCGUGCAGUCUCUCCGUUGGAAUCCGGUUUGGCGAUCCACCUUCACCGAUAGACUCUCCCGGAGAUACGGCAACGAUCUCCCGAGGCUCGACGUUUUCGUUUGCACGGCGGAUCCGGUGAUAGAGCCGCCGUUGAUGGUGGUCAACACAGUGUUAUCCGUGAUGGCUCUCGAUUACCCACCGGAGAAACUAGCGGUGUAUCUCUCGGACGACGGUGGCUCUCAGCUCACGUUCUACGCUCUCGCGGAGGCAGCUGAGUUUGCUAAAACAUGGGUUACGUUCUGUAAGAGAUUCGACGUGGAGCCGAGAUCCCCUGGCGCUUACUUUUCUUCCAAGUCAAAUGUUCUUGACUCCGAGGUGGCUGAGCUGUAUAGAGAGAUGGCGGCUAGGAUUGAAACGGCGACGAAACUACGGCGAGUACCCGAGGAGGCGCGGUUGAAGUGCCGUGAGGGGUUUUCGCAGUGGGAUUCUGACGCCACUCAAAGAAACCACGCAACCAUUCUUCAAGUAAGUAUUUUAGUUAUGUUCUGUUAGAAACAGAGUCUGAGUUUAUUUGUUUCAUUCAUCAGAUUUUGAUAGACGGAAGAAAAGAGAACACAAUAGCAAUACCAACACUGGUGUACCUAUCGAGAGAGAAGAGACCUGAGCAUCACCAUCACUACAAAGCUGGUUCCAUGAACGCAUUGGUAACGGUUUCGUGUUCAACAAGUCAUAUAACCAUUCUCCGAUACUACUACGCUGCUCUGAUUCUUUUGAUAUGGUUGUUUCUCUGACAGCUGAGGGUGUCUUCGAAGAUCACGUGUGGGAGAAUCAUACUUAACUUGGACUGUGAUAUGUACGCAAACAACUCAAAGUCAGCACUCGAAGCGCUCUGCAUUCUACUUGAUGAGAAAGAGGGAAAAGAGAUUGCUUUCGUGCAGUUCCCACAGUUUUAUGAUAAUCUUACAAGGAAUGAUUUGUACGGAAGCAUGAUGCGAGUAAUAGCACAUGUAAGGAUUCUGGAUGCUUUGAUAGUAUUAUUGAUUCUGCUGCUACCUAACCUUUUGUCAUUUGGGAUGUGAAAACAAAGGUGGAGUUUAAUGGAUUGGACGGAAAUGGUGGACCGUUAUACAUUGGGACAGGCUGCUUUCACAGAAGAGAUGUUAUCUGUGGAAGAAAGUAUGGAGAGGAAGAAGAAGAAGAAGAUGAAAUUGUAGAGGCUGAGAAGAUUAAGUCUCUUGCAAGCUGCACAUACGAAAAAGGCUCUGAAUGGGGAAAGGAGGUAAGGCAGUGAUUAAUAAGUCUUCACUUACUCAAUCUGUCUAUUUUUUCUGCAAAAUUAUUCUCCUGGAAAGCUCAUAAGUUCUUGGGGUAAAAGAGGAUUAAAGUGACAAGCAUCAGGUUUUGGCCUAACAAAAAAGGUUUGCAAUUUUUCAACUUCUUACUACUUUUCUCUCCUAAAUUUUGAUUUCUUGAUUAAAGUUUCCAUUGUUUUUUUGAAAAAAAUAAAGUUUCCAUUGUUGAAACAAUUAUUUCUAAGUAUUCACACUGCAAUCGAGUCCAACCAUAAUACUUUUGUUGAACGUAUAAAGGAAUUUGCAUAUCUGAAUCCUAAUGUAAAUUUACUUUAAUUCAAGCAAGGUUGACCAUGCAAUUUUUCAUCAAGACUUAACAUUCAUGAUAUUGUAAUAAAAAUCAAACUAAAUUAUAAAUUCAACAAACUAUAAGUAAUCUGGGUUAAUUAUGUUUCAAAUGUGUGUUUUUCCGAAAAUAUAUUAGAUAAAAUAACAUAAAGAUGUCAGUAAAUUGUUAUUUUAAACUGAAAAUAUAUUUAAACAAUAAAUUUAUUUGAUUCAUCACAUUCAAAUUUAUAAUCAACAUAAAUUGAGUUUUUUAUUCUGUAUGAAUCAUCUAAAGAAUUAAUGGAUCAAAUCAAGUAUUUUUGUACAUAUCCUAUUUAUUUUUGAAAUACUACAAAUAUGUUUCAAUUUUAUAAUAAUAUCAGAUUUUUUUUUUGCUUUCGACAACCGCUUUAUUUCAAUGACCUCUAAUAUUAUGUGUUUUGUAUACUAUUUAAAAAUAUUUAUUCUGAUCGCCAAUUAUAACACUGAUCAAAUAAUUUAUAAAAAAAGUAAAUUGACCGGUGCGUAGCCGGGCAGUAAUACUAGUAGAUUAUAUAAAGCAGAUUCUAAUAAAACAUAGUGUUUGCUUGUAUUGAUUUGUUUCUCAGUUUACUUAUGCAGUACUAUUAUGUUUGCAUCUUGCACUUACAUAAUACAUAAGAAGCAUUUACCUAAUUAUGAUCAAAAGCCGAUGUAUAGAACCUAAUAUCUCUAAAUCGUUAGAAAAACGUUAUUAAACUUUAUAACUUCCGGAUAAUAAAUUCGGUAAGAAUAAACAAGAAAACUAUUGUAUGAUGAGUCUUGUGGUGAUAAAGAAGCCGGUGGUAACGCUUUUUUUUUUCAUUGAAAUAGGGUAUUACAAAUACAUAGUAUAGAUCAGAUAGAAUUUUACAAAAUGAUCAGCCAGAAUCUAAACAUUACAAAUAAACCUUAUGAUAAAACAAAGAGAUGUCUUAACCAACCAGGAUAUCCAGCAGCAAUGUAAGAUUGAUAGCGAUCCUCUUUGAUCUUGAUUCUUUCUAUCUAGAGAAAGAUUCUACCAACAGUUGUACUUAAUGGACAAAAAGUACCUUCUUUCAUGAAGUCUGUUAUUGCAGUUUUAUCAGUGUUCUUUAAUGAAACCAUGUCUGGAUCGGUGCACUCGACCAUUGAUACUUGAGUCCUUGACUAUAUCAUCACCUACCAUGUGCUAAGAAAACAUUAGCUUUAGCAUUAUAUUAUUUAUAUUUAUAUUUUAUUCUUUCUUUAGCGGCCGCCUCAGAGAUGUCAUCUCAUAUACUAACAAGUUGGGUUUUACUUAACAUUUUUACCAAAAAAAAAAACAAGUUGGGUUUUAAGAAGUAUAAUCUUUGAUCAUUGACGCCUACCUGUCAUCAUUUGUGUGAAGAAGAAACAUACAUGCUGACGAUUACAAUGAGGUCAGCGACGACCUCGAUAUCCACGUUCCUUUUUUGACUAUUAUCUCCAAAAUGACACCUACGGCCUCUCGACUAAUCUCUACUUAAGGCUCUCUUAUUACUCCAACCCAUGAGAGAGACGUUUCUCUUAUCCUCUUGAAAGAAAACUAAACAAAAAUGGCAAAAGAAGAUAACCGGUUUAGCUCGGCUCAUGAAGGCGACCGUGAACCGCUUUUCGCGACCAGGAGGAGAACCGGAGGACUGAUUGCGUUUCGUUUUUUUGCGGCCUCGGUUUUCGGGUGCAUCUGUUGUACUUGGUUCUACAGAGUGGUCGAACCGUUAGAGAAAGAUGAGAACCGAACCGGUUUCUUUCGGUUAAUUUGGUUGGUUAUGCUAAUUUUGGAGAUCUGGUUCGGUUUGUACUGGCUUGUCGUGCAGUCUCUCCGUUGGAAUCCGGUUUGGCGAUCCACCUUCACCGAUAGACUCUCCCGGAGAUACGGCAACGAUCUCCCGAGGCUCGACGUUUUCGUUUGCACGGCGGAUCCGGUGAUAGAGCCGCCGUUGAUGGUGGUCAACACAGUGUUAUCCGU